This 1406-nucleotide ribosomal RNA is filed under the name uncultured bacterium. RNAcentral's name for it is "bacterial SSU rRNA". It matches the Rfam family "Bacterial small subunit ribosomal RNA". The record is from RNAcentral.
CCUUAGAGUUUGAUCCUGGCUCAGGACGAACGCUGGUGGCGUGCUUAACACAUGCAAGUCGAACGGAGCGCCUAUGAAGGAGAUUUCGGUCAACGGAAUAGGUUGCUUAGUGGCGGACGGGUGAGUAACGCGUGAGGAACCUGCCUUUCAGAGGGGGACAACAGUUGGAAACGACUGCUAAUACCGCAUAACACAUAGGUGCCGCAUGGCAUUUAUGUCAAAGAUUUAUCGCUGAAAGAUGGCCUCGCGUCUGAUUAGCUAGUUGGUGAGGUAACGGCUCACCAAGGCGACGAUCAGUAGCCGGACUGAGAGGUUGGCCGGCCACAUUGGGACUGAGAUACGGCCCAGACUCCUACGGGAGGCAGCAGUGGGGAAUAUUGGGCAAUGGGCGCAAGCCUGACCCAGCAACGCCGCGUGAAGGAAGAAGGCUUUCGGGUUGUAAACUUCUUUUGACAGGGAAGAGUAGAAGACGGUACCUGUCGAAUAAGCCACGGCUAACUACGUGCCAGCAGCCGCGGUAAUACGUAGGUGGCAAGCGUUGUCCGGAUUUACUGGGUGUAAAGGGCGUGUAGCCGGGUUGACAAGUCAGAUGUGAAAUCCUGCGGCUUAACCGCAGAACUGCAUUUGAAACUGUUGAUCUUGAGUACUGGAGAGGCAGACGGAAUUCCUAGUGUAGCGGUGAAAUGCGUAGAUAUUAGGAGGAACACCAGUGGCGAAGGCGGUCUGCUGGACAGCAACUGACGGUGAGGCGCGAAAGCGUGGGGAGCAAACAGGAUUAGAUACCCUGGUAGUCCACGCUGUAAACGAUGGAUACUAGGUGGGCGGGGACUGAACCCCUUGCGUGCCGCAGCUAACGCAAUUAAGUAUUCCCACCUGGGGAGUACCAUUCGCAAGGUUGAAAAACUCAAAAGAAUUUGACGGGGGCCCGCUCAAGCGGUGGAUUAUGUGGUUUAGUUUGAUGCAACGCGAAGAACCUUACCAGGGCUUGACAUCCUACUAAACGAAGUAGAGAUACAUUAGGUACCCUUCGGGGGAAGUAGAGACAGGUGGUGCAUGGUUGUCGUCAGCUCGUGUCGUGAGAUGUUGGGUUAAGUCCCGCAACGAGCGCAACCCUUGUCAUUAGUUGCCAUCAUUAAGUUGGGCACUCUAAUGAGACUGCCGGUGACAAACCGGAGGAAGGUGGGGAUGACGUCAAGUCAUCAUGCCCCUUAUGACCUGGGCUACACACGUGCUACAAUGGACGGUACAACGAGAAGCGAACCUGCGAAGGCAAGCGGAUCUCUUAAAGCUGUUCUCAGUUCGGACUGUAGGCUGCAACUCGCCUACACGAAGCUGGAAUCGCUAGUAAUCGCGGAUCAGCACGCCGCGGUGAAUACGUUCCCGGGCCUUGCACUCACCGCCCGUCA